Molecule: ribosomal RNA, 293 nt
Filed under: uncultured Lactobacillus sp.
Lineage: Bacteria; Bacillati; Bacillota; Bacilli; Lactobacillales; Lactobacillaceae
Description: partial 16S ribosomal RNA
Rfam family: Bacterial small subunit ribosomal RNA
Source: RNAcentral
AGCUAGUUGGUAAGGUAAAGGCUUACCAAGGCGAUGAUGCAUAGCCGAGUUGAGAGACUGAUCGGCCACAUUGGGGACUGAGACACGGCCCAAACUCCUACGGGGAGGCAGCAGUAGGGAAUCUUCCACAAUGGACGCAAGUCUGAUGGAGCAACGCCGCGUGAGUGAAGAAGGUUUUUCGGAUCGUAAAAGCUCUGUUGUUGGUGAAGAAGGAUAGAGGUAGUAACUGGCCUUUAUUUGACGGUAAUCAACCAGAAAGUCACGGCUAACUACGUGCCAGCAGCCGCGGUAAU